This 253-nucleotide ribosomal RNA is filed under the name uncultured bacterium. Its description in RNAcentral is "partial 16S ribosomal RNA". It matches the Rfam family "Bacterial small subunit ribosomal RNA", at positions 524 to 776 of the family's 1533-position model. The record is from RNAcentral.
GACAGAGGGUGCAAACGUUGUUCGGAAUUACUGGGCGUAAAGGGCUCGUAGGUGGCCAACUAAGUCAGACGUGAAAUCCCUCGGCUUAACCGGGGAACUGCGUCUGAUACUGGAUGGCUUGAGUUCGGGAGAGGGAUGCGGAAUUCCAGGUGUAGCGGUGAAAUGCGUAGAUAUCUGGAGGAACACCGGUGGCGAAGGCGGCAUCCUGGACCGACACUGACACUGAGGAGCGAAAGCCAGGGGAGCAAACGGG